Molecule: long non-coding RNA, 4425 nt
Filed under: Eucalyptus grandis
Lineage: Eukaryota; Viridiplantae; Streptophyta; Magnoliopsida; Myrtales; Myrtaceae
Description: long non-coding RNA (EGRA_LNC005306)
Source: RNAcentral
UGGGUGUGGAGCAGAGCGGGCAUCUUCAAUUGAAGUCUCAUCAGAACAUGAAACGAAAAUCAGAAACAAAAAAGAAAGUUAAUUAAUUGUGUUGCCACGAAUAACUUUGUUUGUGCUAAAGAUAGUAGUUUGUGGGCUCAGCUUUCGGCCGUGGCUUUCGCUUUCUCUACUAUCUUGGGGCUGGAAUACAUCAGGAACUUGAAAGGAGUCUCACCUAAAAGUUGACUCUUCUGGUUUUUGGCUAGUUAUCUCUAUAGGCCCUUUGAAUUAAUCUGUUCAUAUCUCAACUUGUACUCAUGACCCAUUUACUUCGGUCAGUUUAACUUGUGCUUCUCUAGUUUAACUUGUUAAUAUAUGUCUCGAGUUUAAGCUUAUUGAAUGAAUCUGACCCCAAUUUAUUUGCAUGUUAACUCGGUAGAUCAAAGUUCAAGAUUGGAUCUUGCAUAAUGCAGAAACCUCAUUCAUAUUGGUGGCGUGAUCUUGAAUGUAAUUUAUUUCCUUUACAAGCUGUAGUCGGCGAAGAAAGCGAAAAAUUAUAUAUACGCACGAGUUGGUUUCUACAUUGAAGUCAGCAAGGAAAAUAAAUUUGAGGAGAGUUGACCGUGGAUUUUUUUUCCCACGUUGGACUCGGUUUCAUGAAGGGUUUUGUUUCUUUUGUAUAUUACAAAUACGGGCUGAAUAAUUGCUGGAAUUUGGGCGCGCCGUUGUUGAUUUGCCGUGAGUGCUUGCUCGUGAAGGCGGUCUUCGUGCUGCUGCGGUUGAUGUAUAAAGGUCUUCUUGAAGCGCGGUCUGUAUACAAAUGCUUGGUAGGCAAAGACGUGCAGAGAAAACUCUUAACUUACAUUAAUCAAGUUAGUGUUUGUAGCCGUGAAAUCUUGUGGUAAAAUUUGUGAAUUUCUUUAUGAGAUUGAGAGAUUAUUUCGUAAGAAAUUUCGAAGUUAAAUAUUGCGUGAGUUAUUAGAAGUAAUUGGGGCUUCAAAAAUAUCGAGAGUAUUUGAGUAAUUCGAGUGUCUAAUCUCCAUUGUAUCGCUUUAUUUAUAGCAAAUUCGUCGCUACUCUCCCAUGGAUAUAGUUCUCUAUAAUUGAAUCACGUAAAUCUAGUAUCUGAUUUAUUUUCUUGUUCCGUCUAUUUUAUUAUUCCAUAGCUCGCUUUUCACAAUAAUUGGUAUCAAAACUAGACUUGAUAGAGUUGAAAAGAAUUGAUGGCAACAGAAGAAGGAAAAGUGAGAAUUGAAAGAUUUGAUGGGAAUGAUUUUAAUUUCUAAAAGAUGUAGAUUGAAGGUUAUCCAUACUAGAUAAAUCUGCACUUGCUCCUAUCUAGGGAGAAGCUAGAGAUGAUGAAGGAAGCUUAUUGAGAUUUGUUGGAUGGACGAGUUAUGGGUUUUAUUCGAUAGACGUUGGCUCGUAACGUCACAUUUAACAUCGUGAAGAGGGAGACCACUGCUGAUUUGAUAAAAGUCCCGUUGGAUAAGUACGAGAAACCCUCUGCAAUCAACAAUGUUUAUUUGAUGCGACGUUUGUUUAAUUUAAAAAUGAGUAAAGCAUCAGUUAUAGAUCAUGUCAAUAAAUUUAAUGUGAUUAUUAAAGAUGAGCGAAGGUGUGUUAAUUGCAAAUCAUAUAAAUAAAUUCAAUGUGAUUAUUAGUCAAUUGAGUUUAGUUGAGAUUGACUUUAAAGAUGAGGUACGUGCUUUAAUUCUAUUAUCUUCAUUGUCUGAUAGUUAGAAUAUUGCUAUUAUUGCUGUUAGUAAUUCUUCUGGUUUGACGUUUAAGGGGCUUUGAGAUUUAAUUCUAAAUGAAGACAUUCGUAGAAGAAAAUCUGGCUAGCCUAUAUAUGUUACUUUAGUAGGUGAAAAUAGAAGAAAAUCUAGAACACAUGUUAGUAGGAGUAAUACUAACAUGAACAGGUGUAACCAGUUUAGGACUAGUAAUGAUGUCCGUUGAAGUUAUGGCAAAAGUGGGCAUCGAAAUGGGCAUCUUAGAAAGAAUUGUCUUAAGUUAAAAAAACGAAAAUGGUAAGGAAAUUAAGUGCCAAAUAGUUAAAGUGCCAAAAGUUAAAAAAGUGAUACUUAAAUAUUAAAAUUAGAGCAAAUGAAUUAGUUAAGUACCAACAGCGAGAAAAUCUGAUCAAAAUGCUGAAGUAAUAAUUUUCCAGUAAGGCAAGUGCAAAACGACGUCAUUUUUUACAUGCUGACGUGGCUAAACAAGUGUAAAACUGACGUCGUUUUGGUGCUGACAUUUGACGUGGGUAAAUAAUUGAUAUAAAAAUUAAUUAAAUUUAAUUUAAUACCAUUUUUUUAAAACAAAAAGAAGGAAGAUGAUAAACAGUGGCAAGUUGUUAAGGAAUCAACCCUUGCAGUCGUUGUCGGGACGGGCCUACGACAAUGGGGGAAGAGUCUACCAGCAACCCUGGCCGAUAGAAGGCAAGGGCCUAUGAGCCCUCACCUAGAUCUGGGGCAAGGGUCACGGCCCUCCUCAAAACAUAGCGAGGGUCAGCAUGACCCUCGCCUGGCCUAGCCUGCUGGAGCGACCCCUCAACAAGCAACGCCCUUGGCCCGAUCAAGCAAGGAUCGGCUUUCAUUGAAUCUAGGGGAGGGUUGCGACCCUUGCCCUAAAUCUGGGCGAGGGCUUACAAGCCCUCACCUCCGAUCAACUAGGGUUGUGGGGCCCUAGCCCCCCCACCCCCAUGACGGUGGGGAGGCGGCAGCAAGGAGCGGGCUGUCAGUCACCUGCAACUAUUCAUCUUCUUCCUUCCUCUUUUUUUUUUUUUUUUUUUAAAAUAAAAAUUUAAUUUAAUUAAUUUUUAGUAUUAAUUUUUACUCUAAAGAUUAAUUUCAACAUUUUCGAGGAAAUUUAAUUUUUUAAGAUUUUUAGAUUUUUCUAUUCUUAAAAAAAAUCGAAAUUUUAAAAAAAGAAUUUUUAAAUUUUUUUUAAAAGUCAAAUUUUUUAAUGUUUUCUGAGUUUUUGAAUUUUCGGAAAAUUUUUUGAUUUUUAUUAUUUUUCGAAAUUUUUGAUUUUUUUGAAAACUUUUGAAUUCUUGAAAUUUUUAAUAUUUAAUAUUAUUAUAUUCGGAUAUAGGGUUCGGAUCGGGUAGAUCCGAUCCUGCCAUUGACCCGACCCAAAACCAGAUUCGACCCUAUCGGGUCGAAAAAGAAAAUAAGAUUUUUAAUUAUUUUUUUUUAGUUUUUUUUUUUUUUAAUUUUCCUUUUUUUGGCUUCUUCUAUGUUUUGUCUUUUUCCCUGCACCGAACGUCUGCCCCCCCCCCCCCACGUCUUUUCCACCUUUCUAUUUUUUUUUCAUUACUCUUUUUAUUUCUUUUAUUUCUUGUUUUUCUUUAAAUCUUUUUUUAGGUCGUCUUCUUCCCUGGUCUUUUUCACCUUCGUGUUUGCCCACUGUACGCUCGAAGCUUCUUUUCCCAAAACAUGGCCUCAUCGAGACUCAGCCAAACAACAACCCAGUCCGGAACAACCGGCGACCCUUCCACCGCCGAACUUCCGUCGGCCACUAGUUGGCCGGAGAUCGUCACCAUCAUCGGCUGAGCAUACCCUCCUCGGCCAAACACCGAGCAAGCAACAACGACGAAUGGGAACGUAGCGAACGACCACACGACCGACGCCCAGGGUCACCCAACACCGCCGGAACAUCACAAAAGAGCGCGACACGCCUGGACAACUCGAUUUCAGUCAAAGACAAAACCACGGAGACUGGAUCUCGUUGUGGCAUUCUAUCAAACAGGUGGAGGGCGCUCCCGAAUCACAUGGUUUCUAUCUCAACUAGGACCCAAACCCAAACCGAGACUCUCACCAACAAACAAUAAAACAUACAGCAACCAAAGAGGGAGUGGACAAGGCCGGAGUUUACGCAAACCAGUCGAACACAAACUCCGGCCCGAGAUGCACAGAACAGGGUGAAAACAGGGCGCGAGGACCUACCGGAUUCGACUUGAGGACGUUGGCCGAGGGGUCGUCCGGCGGGGCUCGCACGCAGCUGAAGCGACGACUGAAGCUCCCUUGCUCUCCCUUAGUCGCUUCCUCGCUCGGACUUCUUCUCCCUCUCGGUUUCUCUCUGGUUCCUCUCAGCUCCUCCUCAGCUCUCUCGGUUUCUCAUAGUUCAAGAAGAAGGGCGUCGGGGAGCCCGAUUCCGUGCACGGUACGAGCCUCUCUUUGGCUCUUUACCCUCUCUCAAGUACUUCUCUCGCUCCAGCUCUCACUCUCGAGCACCUCUCUCGCUCAAGCUCUCCCUCUUUUCUCCUGUCUCUGCCGGUUCUCCGUUUUCUUUGGUUUUCUCCCUCUGUGUGCCCGAUGCUCUCCUUUCUCGUCUUCCUCUCUUUUUUCUCGCUCCAGCCCGUGUUUUCUGUCUUGCCCUCCUGUUUUUUUUUUCUUUUUACUGAGCUCUUCAAGAUCAACGGUCGGUGUGUCUGGUUCUUGC